GGCGAACGCUGGCGGCGUGCUUAACACAUGCAAGUCGAACGGUAAGGCCCUUCGGGGUACACGAGUGGCGAACGGGUGAGUAACUCGUGGGUGAUCUGCCCUGCACUUCGGGAUAAGCCUGGGAAACUGGGUCUAAUACCGGAUAGGACCACUGCCUGCAUGGGUGGUGAUGGAAAGCUUGUGCGGUGUGGGAUGGGCCCGCGGCCUAUGAGCUUGUUGGUGGGGUGAGGGCCUACCAAGGCGACAACGGGUAGCCGGCCUGAGAGGGUGACCGGCCACACUGGGACUGAGAUGCGGCCCAGACUCCUACGGGGGGCAGCAGUGGGGAAUAUUGCACAAUGGGCGCAAGGCUGAUGCAGCGACGCCGCGUGAGGGAUGACGGCCUUCGGGUUGUAAACCUCUUUCAGCACCGACGAAGCGCAAGUGACGGUAGGUGCAGAAGAAGGACCGGCCAACUACGUGCCAGCCGCCGCAGUAA
This 478-nucleotide ribosomal RNA is filed under the name uncultured bacterium. RNAcentral's name for it is "partial 16S ribosomal RNA". It matches the Rfam family "Bacterial small subunit ribosomal RNA", at positions 28 to 523 of the family's 1533-position model. The record is from RNAcentral.